RNAcentral lists this ribosomal RNA (253 nucleotides) under uncultured bacterium. RNAcentral's name for it is "partial 16S ribosomal RNA". It matches the Rfam family "Bacterial small subunit ribosomal RNA", at positions 524 to 776 of the family's 1533-position model. The record is from RNAcentral.
UACGAAGGGUGCAAGCGUUACUCGGAAUUACUGGGCGUAAAGGGUGCGUAGGUGGUUUGUUAAGUCCGUUGUGAAAUCCCUGGGCUCAACCUGGGAAUGGCAGUGGAUACUGGCAAGCUAGAGUGCGGUAGAGGGUAGUGGAAUUCCCGGUGUAGCGGUGAAAUGCGCAGAUAUCGGGAAGAACACCCGUGGCGAAGGCGGCUCUCUGGGACGGUACUGACGCUGAGACGCGAAAGCGUGGGGAGCGAACAGG